RNAcentral lists this ribosomal RNA (253 nucleotides) under uncultured bacterium. Its description in RNAcentral is "partial 16S ribosomal RNA". It matches the Rfam family "Bacterial small subunit ribosomal RNA", at positions 524 to 776 of the family's 1533-position model. The record is from RNAcentral.
UACGGAGGGGGCUAGCGUUGUUCGGAUUUACUGGGCGUAAAGGGCACGUAGGCGGUUAUUCAAGUCGGGGGGGAAAGCCCGGGGCUCAACCCCGGAACUGCCCUCGAAACUAGGUAGCUAGAAUCUUGGAGAGGCGAGUGGAAUUCCGAGUGUAGAGGUGAAAUUCGUAGAUAUUCGGAAGAACACCAGUGGCGAAGGCGACUCGCUGGACAAGUAUUGACGCUGAGGUGCGAAAGCGUGGGGAGCAAACAGG